UUUGUAUGAAAGGAUCCAAAUGAUAUGUGGGAUCUUAGGGUUAAAAAUUAGGGUAUGAUAGAUGCCCUUAUUUAAGUUUCUUCAAUUCAGAGAUAUGAAGAUUGAAAUCUUCGUCUCGACGAGAUGGAAGAGACUUAAAUACAGAAGACCCAAUUUUUGGUCCUAAGAUACCGCAAAAAUGGUCAUGAUAUGAUUGAAUGCAGACAAGGAUCUCUUUGAGGAAUAUAGCGCCACGAAAGACAAAUGACUACUAGAGAAACAAGGAGACUGAAAUUCUCUAGGGGAAUAAUAGAUUCUAAAGGGGAUAACCAACUGGGGACAAACAAAGUUCCAUAGAUGAAAGGGAAAGACUCGCAGACAACUACGACACGAAAUUGUUGGAGACAAAGGGAUGCUCUCCAGGAAAAUUAAUUACUGGGAAGCGACUAGACUCGAGAAUAACUAUUGUAUUAGAAAGCAACCAAUGCAUAGUUAUAAAACAAACGACCCAAAGACCCAACAGGGGAAGACUUAUCAAAGCAAGACUCUGACGGGGAAAAAAUCAAUCAAAGGGGAUACUCAACUCCACUAGGGGUAGAAAUUACCUAACUAUCAGCCAAGUGAUAACUUAACAAAGAUAAUAAGCUCAAAAG
Molecule: long non-coding RNA, 632 nt
Filed under: Lathyrus oleraceus (garden pea)
Lineage: Eukaryota; Viridiplantae; Streptophyta; Magnoliopsida; Fabales; Fabaceae
Description: Pisum sativum (pea) long non-coding RNA (PSAT_LNC042271)
Source: RNAcentral